This 85-nucleotide transfer RNA is filed under the name Felis catus (domestic cat). It matches the Rfam family "tRNA". Rfam says of the family: Transfer RNA (tRNA) molecules are approximately 80 nucleotides in length. Lineage: Eukaryota; Metazoa; Chordata; Mammalia; Carnivora; Felidae. The record is from Rfam by way of RNAcentral. RNAcentral also lists the same sequence under 2 other names.
GCCUGGGUAGUUCAGUCGGUGAAGCAUCUGACUUCGGCUCAGGUCAUGAUCUCGCAGUUCAUGGGUUCGAGCCCCAUACUGGGUU